AAGUAGCAUAGUUGAGUCUGCAGAGGAUCAUCACGUCACAGGAAGGUUGCAAACGGAACAUGAGAACAGUGCAUACUCCGCCUGCCCUAGUGUGGUCAUGGGUGCAAGGCUGCUCUGCUGGGUAGCACUCUGUCUCCUAGGGACAGGCUCCUUUGAUGCCAAAGUAACCCAGAAUCCAAGAUAUCUGGUCAAAGAGAAAGGACAGAGAGCAAAUAUGAGCUGCAACCCUGAAAAGGGUCACACUGCCUACUACUGGUAUCAACAGAACCAAAACGGAGAGCUUAAACUUUUGAUUAACUUUCGGAACGCAGACAUUAUUGAACAAACAGACGUGGUCAAGAAGCGAUUCUCAGCUGAGUGUCCCUCAAAUUCACCGUGCAGGCUGGACAUCCAGUCCUCUGAAGCAGGAGACUCAGCUCUGUACCUCUGUGCCAGCAGUCAGGACACAGCGCUGAAUUGUGUGUUCUCCUCAUUGCACAAACCCCACUGCGGGCAGAUCUCAGGAAGCAGCUCUAAGGCAUCCCAGCUGCAAGGGUCCUCUGCUGCACAGUCCCCGGUCUCCUGGGGGCAGGUUGUCUUGAUGCCAAAGUUAUACAGAUUCCAGCCAUCUGGUCAAGAGGAAAGGACAGACAGAAAAGAUGAGCUGUAG
Molecule: non-coding RNA, 649 nt
Organism: Mesocricetus auratus (golden hamster)
Lineage: Eukaryota; Metazoa; Chordata; Mammalia; Rodentia; Cricetidae
Source: the annotation of a RefSeq genome assembly